UGUGAGAUUCGGUGGCCAUCCCUCAACGUC
Molecule: non-coding RNA, 30 nt
Filed under: Mus musculus (house mouse)
Lineage: Eukaryota; Metazoa; Chordata; Mammalia; Rodentia; Muridae
Source: RNAcentral